UNUGACUUGAGUGCAGAAGGGGAGAGUGGAAUUCCAUGUGUAGCGGUGAAAUGCGUAGAUAUAUGGAGGAACACCAGUGGCGAAAGCGGCUCUNUGGUCUGUCACUGACGCUGAGGCUCGAAAGCGUGGGUAGCGAACAGGAUUAGAUACCCUGGUAGUNCACGCCGUAAACGAUGAUUGCUAGGUGUUAGGCCCAUUCCGGGGCUUAGUGCCGGAGCUAACGCAAUAAGCACUCCGCCUGGGGAGUACGACCGCAAGGUUGAAACUCAAAGGAAUUGACGGGGGCCCGCACAAGCGGUGGAGCAUGUGGUUUAAUUCGAAGCAACGCGAAGAACCUUACCAGGUCUUGACAUCCCGAUGCUAUUCUUAGAGAUAGGAAGUUACUUCGGUACAUCGGAGACAGGUGGUGCAUGGUUGUCGUCAGCUCGUGUCGUGAGAUGUUGGGUUAAGUCCCGCAACGAGCGCAACCCUUAUUGUUAGUUGCCAUCAUUAAGUUGGGCACUCUAGCGAGACUGCCGGUAAUAAACCGGAGGAAGGUGGGGAUGACGUCAAAUCAUCAUGCCCCUUAUGACCUGGGCUACACACGUGCUACAAUGGUCGGUACAACGAGUUGCGAGCCGGUGACGGCAAGCUAAUCUCUGAAAGCCGAUCUCAGUUCGGAUUGGAGGCUGCAACUCGCCUCCAUGAAGUCGGAAUCGCUAGUAAUCGCGGAUCAGCACGCCGCGGUGAAUACGUUCCCGGGCCUUGUACACACCGCCCGUCACACCACGAGAGUUUGUAACACCCGAAGUCGGUGAGGUAACCUUUUAGGGNCCA
RNAcentral lists this ribosomal RNA (816 nucleotides) under uncultured bacterium. Its description in RNAcentral is "bacterial SSU rRNA". It matches the Rfam family "Bacterial small subunit ribosomal RNA", at positions 636 to 1451 of the family's 1533-position model. The record is from RNAcentral.